GGCUUGUAGCUCAGGUGGUUAGAGCGCACCCCUGAUAAGGGUGAGCUCGGUGGUUCAAGUCCACUCAGGCC
Molecule: transfer RNA, 71 nt
Filed under: Salmonella enterica subsp. enterica serovar Newport
Lineage: Bacteria; Pseudomonadati; Pseudomonadota; Gammaproteobacteria; Enterobacterales; Enterobacteriaceae
Description: tRNA-Ile
Rfam family: tRNA
About the family: Transfer RNA (tRNA) molecules are approximately 80 nucleotides in length. Their secondary structure includes four short double-helical elements and three loops (D, anti-codon, and T loops). Further hydrogen bonds mediate the characteristic L-shaped molecular structure. tRNAs have two regions of fundamental functional importance: the anti-codon, which is responsible for specific mRNA codon recognition, and the 3' end, to which the tRNAs corresponding amino acid is attached (by aminoacyl-tRNA synthetases). tRNAs cope with the degeneracy of the genetic code in two manners: having more than one tRNA (with a specific anti-codon) for a particular amino acid; and 'wobble' base-pairing, i.e. permitting non-standard base-pairing at the 3rd anti-codon position.
Source: RNAcentral